This 1542-nucleotide ribosomal RNA is filed under the name Salmonella enterica. RNAcentral's name for it is "bacterial SSU rRNA". It matches the Rfam family "Bacterial small subunit ribosomal RNA". Lineage: Bacteria; Pseudomonadati; Pseudomonadota; Gammaproteobacteria; Enterobacterales; Enterobacteriaceae. The record is from RNAcentral. RNAcentral also lists the same sequence under 2 other names.
AAAUUGAAGAGUUUGAUCAUGGCUCAGAUUGAACGCUGGCGGCAGGCCUAACACAUGCAAGUCGAACGGUAACAGGAAGCAGCUUGCUGCUUUGCUGACGAGUGGCGGACGGGUGAGUAAUGUCUGGGAAACUGCCUGAUGGAGGGGGAUAACUACUGGAAACGGUGGCUAAUACCGCAUAACGUCGCAAGACCAAAGAGGGGGACCUUCGGGCCUCUUGCCAUCAGAUGUGCCCAGAUGGGAUUAGCUAGUUGGUGAGGUAACGGCUCACCAAGGCGACGAUCCCUAGCUGGUCUGAGAGGAUGACCAGCCACACUGGAACUGAGACACGGUCCAGACUCCUACGGGAGGCAGCAGUGGGGAAUAUUGCACAAUGGGCGCAAGCCUGAUGCAGCCAUGCCGCGUGUAUGAAGAAGGCCUUCGGGUUGUAAAGUACUUUCAGCGGGGAGGAAGGUGUUGUGGUUAAUAACCACAGCAAUUGACGUUACCCGCAGAAGAAGCACCGGCUAACUCCGUGCCAGCAGCCGCGGUAAUACGGAGGGUGCAAGCGUUAAUCGGAAUUACUGGGCGUAAAGCGCACGCAGGCGGUCUGUCAAGUCGGAUGUGAAAUCCCCGGGCUCAACCUGGGAACUGCAUUCGAAACUGGCAGGCUUGAGUCUUGUAGAGGGGGGUAGAAUUCCAGGUGUAGCGGUGAAAUGCGUAGAGAUCUGGAGGAAUACCGGUGGCGAAGGCGGCCCCCUGGACAAAGACUGACGCUCAGGUGCGAAAGCGUGGGGAGCAAACAGGAUUAGAUACCCUGGUAGUCCACGCCGUAAACGAUGUCUACUUGGAGGUUGUGCCCUUGAGGCGUGGCUUCCGGAGCUAACGCGUUAAGUAGACCGCCUGGGGAGUACGGCCGCAAGGUUAAAACUCAAAUGAAUUGACGGGGGCCCGCACAAGCGGUGGAGCAUGUGGUUUAAUUCGAUGCAACGCGAAGAACCUUACCUGGUCUUGACAUCCACAGAAGAAUCCAGAGAUGGAUUUGUGCCUUCGGGAACUGUGAGACAGGUGCUGCAUGGCUGUCGUCAGCUCGUGUUGUGAAAUGUUGGGUUAAGUCCCGCAACGAGCGCAACCCUUAUCCUUUGUUGCCAGCGAUUAGGUCGGGAACUCAAAGGAGACUGCCAGUGAUAAACUGGAGGAAGGUGGGGAUGACGUCAAGUCAUCAUGGCCCUUACGACCAGGGCUACACACGUGCUACAAUGGCGCAUACAAAGAGAAGCGACCUCGCGAGAGCAAGCGGACCUCAUAAAGUGCGUCGUAGUCCGGAUUGGAGUCUGCAACUCGACUCCAUGAAGUCGGAAUCGCUAGUAAUCGUGGAUCAGAAUGCCACGGUGAAUACGUUCCCGGGCCUUGUACACACCGCCCGUCACACCAUGGGAGUGGGUUGCAAAAGAAGUAGGUAGCUUAACCUUCGGGAGGGCGCUUACCACUUUGUGAUUCAUGACUGGGGUGAAGUCGUAACAAGGUAACCGUAGGGGAACCUGCGGUUGGAUCACCUCCUUA